RNAcentral lists this ribosomal RNA (327 nucleotides) under uncultured eukaryote. RNAcentral's name for it is "partial 18S ribosomal RNA". It matches the Rfam family "Eukaryotic small subunit ribosomal RNA", at positions 1470 to 1796 of the family's 1831-position model. The record is from RNAcentral.
CCCUUAGAUGUUCUGGGCCGCACGCGCGCUACACUGACGAAUGCAACGAGCUUAUAACCUUGGCCGAAAGGUCUGGGUAAUCUCCAAAUUUCGUCGUGAUGGGGAUAGAUUAUUGCAAUUAUUAAUCUUCAACGAGGAAUGCCUAGUAAGCGCAAGUCAUCAGCUUGCGUUGAUUACGUCCCUGCCCUUUGUACACACCGCCCGUCGCUCCUACCGAUUGAAUGGUCCGGUGAAGCAUUCGGACCGUGGCCUUUGGACGGUUCGCCGUCUGUUGGCUGCGGGAAGUUCGUUAAACCUUAUCAUUUAGAGGAAGGAGAAGUCGUAACA